Molecule: ribosomal RNA, 508 nt
Filed under: uncultured Flavobacterium sp.
Lineage: Bacteria; Pseudomonadati; Bacteroidota; Flavobacteriia; Flavobacteriales; Flavobacteriaceae
Description: bacterial SSU rRNA
Rfam family: Bacterial small subunit ribosomal RNA
Source: RNAcentral
GAGUUUGAUCCUGGCUCAGGAUGAACGCUAGCGGCAGGCCUAAUACAUGCAAGUCGAGGGGCAGCGGGUGUAGCAAUACAUGCCGGCGACCGGCGCACGGGUGCGUAACACGUAUGUAAUCUACCUUUUACUGGAGAAUAGCCCGAAGAAAUUCGGAUUAAUACUCCAUAAUAUCAUUGGGGGGCAUCUCUUGAUGAUUAAAGUUCCGACGGUAAAAGAUGAGCAUGCGCGAUAUUAGCUAGUUGGUGAGGUAACGGCUCACCAAGGCGACGAUAUCUAGGGGUACUGAGAGGUUACACCCCCACACUGGUACUGAGACACGGACCAGACUCCUACGGGAGGCAGCAGUAAGGAAUAUUGGACAAUGGUCGCAGGACUGAUCCAGCCAUGCCGCGUGCAGGAUGACUGCCCUAUGGGUUGUAAAACUGCUUUUGUACAGGAAGAAACACUCCCCUCGUGAGGGAACUUGACGGUACUGUAAGAAUAAGGAUCGGCUGACUCCGUGCCA